This 724-nucleotide long non-coding RNA is filed under the name Danio rerio (zebrafish). Its description in RNAcentral is "lncRNA (ENSDARG00000117250.1)". The record is from RNAcentral. Lineage: Eukaryota; Metazoa; Chordata; Actinopteri; Cypriniformes; Danionidae.
UUGGCUUUUCUGCCUUCAGCCUUAUCAGCCACUUACAGCUGCGGGCUCAGAAAACCCGAUUUCUGCGUGUUCCACCCUGGAGGACAGGAAGAUUCAAAGCGACAGAACCUCCUCAAUAAAACACAAUAGAUUCUUCUUCCAUCCGUUGAAGGUCCGACCUUGCCGUCAUGCUCCUAAUGGUCCACGUUUGCACUCUGCCAUGAUGCCCAGGGACAUUUGGCUGGAGAUGGACAAAAAUUAUUACAAGGGAAAACAAUACCAGUUUUGUGCAGGCUCAUGCUUUUCUGAGGCGGUCAGAGCAAGAGCGGUGACUCGGUUCUCAUUGGGAUGAUGCCUCUUGUGUUUACAGUCCUCAGGCUGUCACCGCAUAGAAAUAAGCUGUAAGGGGGAAACGCUUGUUCAGCAUUACACAAUUUUGUGUUUUAGUCAUACUUUAAAAUUAAAUCAAUAUAUUUUCCUGUCAUAUUUAUAUAUUUUAGUAUUUUUAUAAAGGACUGAAACAAAGUGUAGUUUUAGCUAAAGGAAACAUCAUUAGUAAAACUGAAAUAAUGUGAAUGUCCAUUUAAAAUGACAUUAUUGUUUGUAAUGGAGUGUAAAAUUAAACUCAUGGCACGAUUUUAUAUGAUGCAAUGCUGAUUAAACAAUUGUUAACUAUAAAAGAAAACUUUGUGAGCCCUCAAGGUUGUUUUCUUUUUAUUUAUGCUCUACAGUUCAACGUGACAUU